RNAcentral lists this ribosomal RNA (253 nucleotides) under uncultured bacterium. RNAcentral describes it as "partial 16S ribosomal RNA". It matches the Rfam family "Bacterial small subunit ribosomal RNA", at positions 524 to 776 of the family's 1533-position model. The record is from RNAcentral.
UACGUAGGGUGCAAGCGUUGUCCGGAAUUAUUGGGCGUAAAGGGCGCGUAGGCGGUAUGGCAAGUGGAAGGUGAAAUCCCUCGGCUUAACCGAGGAACUGCCCUCCAAACUGCUUUACUUGAGGCCGGGAGAGGUGAGUGGAAUUCCCAGUGUAGCGGUGAAAUUCGUAGAUAUGUGGAGGAACACCGAUGGCGAAGGCAGCCCCCUGGGCUAACACUGACGCUCAUGCACGAAAGCGUGGGGAGCAAACAGG